UACGUAGGUGGCAAGCGUUAUCCGGAUUUAUUGGGCGUAAAGAGAACGCAGGCGGUCUUUUAAGUCUGAUGUGAAAGCCUUCGGCUUAACCGGAGUAGUGCAUUGGAAACUGGGAGACUUGAGUGCAGAAGAGGAGAGUGGAACUCCAUGUGUAGCGGUGAAAUGCGUAGAUAUAUGGAAGAACACCAGUGGCGAAAGCAGGUCUCUGGGCCGUUACUGACGCUGAGGAGCGAAAGCGUGGGGAGCGAACAGG
This 253-nucleotide ribosomal RNA is filed under the name uncultured bacterium. RNAcentral describes it as "partial 16S ribosomal RNA". It matches the Rfam family "Bacterial small subunit ribosomal RNA", at positions 524 to 776 of the family's 1533-position model. The record is from RNAcentral.